Drosophila sechellia is the source of this 1511-nucleotide long non-coding RNA. RefSeq lists it as uncharacterized. The transcript is spliced from 3 exons. Lineage: Eukaryota; Metazoa; Arthropoda; Insecta; Diptera; Drosophilidae. The record is from RefSeq and is a predicted model, not a curated record.
UUUUUCAGUCCUAGCAUUCGAUGAACUGAGGACUCUUGUAUGCCAUACUCAGCCGUGAUUAAUUCUAAGCCUUUAGUCUCACUUUCAGAUCUGAUCUGGAUGUUUUUACCCCAUCACACUUUCAUCGAUGAGCCUGACGUGACAAGUCUUAUCUACAAACUCUUGGCGAUCUUUUUGUCAUUCUCCAUAGAGCUUGAGGUAAUCAUUGGAGUCUCGUACGCAAUAAAAACAUUAAAUUCUGGUGACUGUGACAUACAAUAUAGCUCCUCAGACGACUUCAGAACUAUGACCCAUCACUUCCUUUCAUUACCAGCAGCUAACAGAGGAUAGGCCCUUCCACAUUGUUAUGCGUAAUAUUCACCACGGUGUUCCAUCGGAAGACAUCAUCGAAUGCCUGCAGAAAGAUACUCUGGGUAAUAAGCUGUGAAGAGCUGUGCCUUCACGAGACUCGACAGGAUGAUGUCGAUAAUGAAGUCCCUGAUGCAAACGACCGUUGGUGUAUGUUCUGUAUUUGCAAGAGUGCAGAUUUCGCAGUCAUUAACUAUAUUUGGGAUUAGUUCCUUAUAGUCUGGAAAAUAUUGAGUUUCUUGAAAAAGACGAUACCAGGGUUCAAUACGUUUGGGUAUUGAGUAAAUAUGAAUUCCUUAAAAAGUUAAUGUUCUUUAAUCGGUACGGUUAAGAGUUUCAUGGUAUGAAUUUUGAAGAAUGGAGAAGUCAUUGUCAUUGUUAAAUACUCUAGUAUGCUUUGGAAAGUAUUUUAUUAAAGGGUCUUUUGCUAUUGGGAGAGUCAUUUCAGUGUUUUUUUUUUAAAUAAUUUUAGAUUUUUUUUUUAAACAAAGAAGAAGUUAAUGGAAUCUUUAAUAAAUUCUAUUUGUCUACUUAAAUAAUUUGUAUGUUUUUUAGUGAUUUAACUGAUUUAAACUAAGACGCUUUCGCGAAUAUUGCCUUGAUGUAGCUUUUCCUUAAUUUUCUUAAUAACUUCAGCUUCAUAGGUCUUCACGCCAGAAUGCCGCGGAGUUUUGACCGUGAGUGUGAGCGGACAGCGCUUACACGCUUGCUACGUUCUGUUCUCUUCGCCUUCCCGCUCUCCAUCCAUCCAGCCGGCAAGUUCACCACUCCGCGGUCCCGCGGCACUUUUUUGUUAGCUUUUAUCAACAACAACAGAAGCCACUAAUCACCCAUCUUCCAGGCGUAUUAUUUGGAUAUCCGCUCCCUCCAUUUCAUAUUCAGAUAAAAAUCAUGAUAAAAUCAUGAUAAUUACGUAUUUGCGCCACCGAAACCGGACAAUCCAUUAUUUGGAGGAACUAAAAAUAAUAAGGCACUUAAUUGAUUUCCAUACUGUAUGUAUGUAUCUGCGCAGUAUGCGUUUUAAUAAACAUUUCUUUGGCAACAGCACUUAGCUGUUCUUGUAAACAAAUCCUAAAGUCUGACCUAAGAAGCAUUGCCUGCUCUCUUUGAAUCUUAAAAAAUUAAGGAUCCAAAAGCAAUGCUCUCCCGAAAUACAAUAUUCU